CGCUGGCGGCGUGCCUAAUACAUGCAAGUCGAACGGCUUUUCUAUGGAAGCUUGCUUCCACUGAGAAGAUAGUGGCGAACGGGUGAGUAACACGUGGGUAACCUGCCCAUAAGAGGGGGAUAACAUCCGGAAACGGGUGCUAAUACCGCAUAGUUUUCUUGAUCGCAUGAUUGAGAAAGGAAAGACGGCCUUUGUGCUGUCGCUUAUGGAUGGACCCGCGGCGUAUUAGUUAGUUGGUGAGGUAAUGGCUCACCAAGACGAUGAUACGUAGCCGACCUGAGAGGGUGAUCGGCCACAUUGGGACUGAGACACGGCCCAAACUCCUACGGGAGGCAGCAGUAGGGAAUCUUCCGCAAUGGACGAAAGUCUGACGGAGCAACGCCGCGUGAGUGAAGAAAGGUUUUCGGAUCGUAAAACUCUGUUGUCAGAGAAGAACAAGUUGGAGAGUAACUGCUCCAGCCUUGACGGUAUCUGACCAGAAAGCCACGGCUAACUACGUGCCAGCCGCAGC
This 511-nucleotide ribosomal RNA is filed under the name uncultured bacterium. RNAcentral describes it as "bacterial SSU rRNA". It matches the Rfam family "Bacterial small subunit ribosomal RNA", at positions 34 to 518 of the family's 1533-position model. The record is from RNAcentral.